Molecule: microRNA precursor, 61 nt
Filed under: Oryctolagus cuniculus (rabbit)
Lineage: Eukaryota; Metazoa; Chordata; Mammalia; Lagomorpha; Leporidae
Description: microRNA ocu-mir-186 precursor
Gene: ocu-mir-186
Rfam family: mir-186 microRNA precursor family
Source: miRBase by way of RNAcentral
CAAAGAAUUCUCCUUUUGGGCUUGCUGGUUUUAUUUUAAGCCCAAAGGUGAAUUUUUUGGG